RNAcentral lists this small RNA (1905 nucleotides) under Saccharomyces cerevisiae (brewer's yeast). Its description in RNAcentral is "CAT novel prediction: IsoSeq". Lineage: Eukaryota; Fungi; Ascomycota; Saccharomycetes; Saccharomycetales; Saccharomycetaceae. The record is from RNAcentral.
GCGGCGCUCUCGGUGACUCUUACACCAAUAGCACCUCCUCCGCAGACUUGAGUUCUAUCACUUCCGUCUCGUCAGCUAGUGCAAGUGCCACCGCUUCCGACUCACUUUCUUCCAGUGACGGUACCGUUUAUUUGCCAUCCACAACAAUUAGCGGUGAUCUCACAGUUACUGGUAAAGUAAUUGCAACCGAGGCCGUGGAAGUCGCUGCCGGUGGUAAGUUGACUUUACUUGACGGUGAAAAAUACGUCUUCUCAUCUGAUCUAAAAGUUCACGGUGAUUUGGUUGUCGAAAAGUCUGAAGCAAGCUACGAAGGUACCGCGUUCGACGUUUCUGGUGAGACUUUUGAAGUUUCCGGUAACUUCAGUGCUGAAGAAACUGGCGCUGUCUCCGCAUCUAUCUAUUCAUUCACACCUAGCUCGUUCAAGAGCAGCGGUGACAUUUCUUUGAGUUUGUCAAAGGCCAAGAAGGGUGAAGUCACCUUUUCUCCAUACUCUAACGCUGGUACCUUUUCUUUGUCAAAUGCUAUUCUCAACGGUGGUUCUGUUUCCGGUUUGUAACGUAGAGACGACGAUGAAGGCUCUGUAAAUAACGGUGAAAUCAACCUAGACAAUGGAAGUACCUAUGUUAUCGUUGAACCAGUUUCUGGAAACGGUACAAUCAACAUCGUCUCUGGUAACCUAUACUUGCACUACCCUGACACCUUUACUGGCCAAACUGUUGUAUUCAAGGGUGAAGGUGUUCUUGCCGUUGACCCAACCGAAACCAACGCCACUCCUAUUCCUGUUGUUGGCUACACCGGUAAGAACCAAAUUGCCAUUACCGCCGACAUCACUGCUCUUUCUUACGACGGUACUACUGGUGUCUUAACUGCAACCCAAGGUAACAGACAAUUCUCUUUUGAAAUUGGUACUGGAUUCUCUAGUUCUGGCUUCAGUGUCUCCGAAGGAAUCUUCGCAGGCGCCUACUCAUAUUACCUAAACUAUGACGGUGUCAUCGCUACAAGCGCCGCAUCCACAUCCGCAUCCACUACCUCUGGUGUUGUCUCUACUGCCACUGGUUCAGUCACUUUAUCCUCUAACGCUUCUACCACCGUCUCUUCUACGAUCUCUUCUAGCGCCCCAGACUCAAUAAUUCCUUCAUCUAGCGCCUCUAUCUCUGGUGUCUCAAACUCCACUACAGCAUCUGGUUCAAUCGCUUCUACUGCUUCCACCGCUUCCACUACUUCUACUGCAUCCGCUGCAUCCGCCACCAGCUUCACCUCAGGUUCCGCUUCUGUCUACACUACUACAUUAACUUACUUGAAUGCCACAAGUACAGUCGUGAUUUCCUGUUCAGAAACAACCGACGCUAGCGGUAACAUUUACACCAUUACCACAACUGUCCCAUGCUCAUCUACCACUGCCACCAUCACAUCUUGUGACGAAAACGGAUGCCAUGUUCCAGCACCAACUGCUACCGACGCAACUGCAACCGUUUCCUCCAAGUCAUACACCACUGUUACCGUUACUCACUGUGACAACAAUGGCUGUAACACCAAGACUGUCACUUCUGAAUGUUCUAAAGAAACUGCAGCAACCACCAUUUCUCCAAAAUCAUACACUACUGUUACCGUUACUCACUGUGACGACAACGGCUGUAACACCAAGACUGUCACUUCCGAGGCUUCCAAACAAACAUCAUUGGCCACUAGCACAGUCACCAAGUCUGCUGCUCCAACUUCUCAUACUGCUGCUUCCAGCACCUUCACUGGUAUUGUCGUUCAAUCCGAAGGUAUGGCUGCUGGUUUGAGAACCAAUGCUUUAAGUACUUUGGCCGGUAUUUUCAUCCUUGCUUUUUUUUAAAAUGAGUGCGUAACCGUACUUUCCUAAAAAUAACUAAGUAGAAAGUAUUUUAAUAUAUAAACGU